Long non-coding RNA from Bombina bombina (fire-bellied toad), 465 nucleotides. RefSeq lists it as uncharacterized. The record is from RefSeq and is a predicted model, not a curated record. Lineage: Eukaryota; Metazoa; Chordata; Amphibia; Anura; Bombinatoridae. The transcript is spliced from 3 exons.
UACUAUAUUACCACUCUUCACAGAGAUUAGAUUAAUGACUGAUUAUAUAUCUGGAAAUGUUCACAGUAAAUGGUGUGUAAAUUUAAUGUAUUUGUUUAAAAAAAAAUUAUAUACAAAGUUUACAAAAACAUUUUUUUUUUUAUUAUGUUGUAAUCAAAAACCGUCAAGCACCACAAUAUCUUUGCCCGAUAGAUGACAAAUCUUCUAGUUCUGGUGGAGAGUCUGACCCCCUGCCAAGCGUAUUUAUGGACAACGAUGGGAAUGAUACAACAGGAAGCCACCGGACAAGAACAUCAGGCAAGGCCAUUAAUCGUCAACGAUUCAAAUGAUGCCAAAGAUCUUGAAUUGCCAGAUAUUGAAGAUGAAGCACAAAUUCAGACGGAGGAUUCCAAUGAUUAAGGAGAGGACAAUAUUGAGAACUAUGAGAGCCUACAAGAGGAGGAAGAUUUGGCGGUUGAAAUAGAG